This 159-nucleotide small nuclear RNA is filed under the name Nicotiana tabacum (common tobacco). Its description in RNAcentral is "U1 spliceosomal RNA". It matches the Rfam family "U1 spliceosomal RNA". From Rfam's summary of the family: U1 is a small nuclear RNA (snRNA) component of the spliceosome (involved in pre-mRNA splicing). Lineage: Eukaryota; Viridiplantae; Streptophyta; Magnoliopsida; Solanales; Solanaceae. The record is from Rfam by way of RNAcentral.
AUACUUACUUGGAUGGGGUCAAUGGGCGAUCAACAAGAUUCAUGGCCUAGGAUGGUGACCUCCAUUUCACUUUGGAGGGGUGCCCGCCUAAGGUCGGCCCAAGUGGUAGGCUACGUCAUAAUUUUUGAUAGUGGGGGCUUGCAUUCGCGCGACCCCCUA